UUAUAAAGAGCAAGAAUUUGUGUAUGGUUUCGGCCCAUAAUUUAUAGGUAAUAACCCUUUUUUAUAAU
RNAcentral lists this transfer RNA (68 nucleotides) under Viviparus viviparus. RNAcentral describes it as "tRNA-Arg". The record is from RNAcentral. Lineage: Eukaryota; Metazoa; Mollusca; Gastropoda; Architaenioglossa; Viviparidae.